ACUACGGGGUGCAGCAGUGAGGAAUAUUGGUCAAUGGGCGGAAGCCUGAACCAGCCAAGUCGCGUGAGGGAAUAAGGCCCUACGGGUCGUAAACCUCUUUUGCCGGGGAGCAAGGGCGGGGACGUGUCCCGGCCCGGAGAGUACCCGGAGAAAAAGCAUCGGCUAACUCCGUGCCAGCAGCCGCGGUAAUACGGAGGAUGCGAGCGUUAUCCGGAUUUAUUGGGUUUAAAGGGUGCGUAGGCGGAAUAUCAAGUCAGCGGUAAAAAUUCGGGGCUCAACCCCGUCGUGCCGUUGAAACUGAUGUUCUGGAGUGGGCGAGAAGUAGGCGGAAUGCGGGGUGUAGCGGUGAAAUGCAUAGAUAUCACGCAGAACUCCGAUUGCGAAGGCAGCAUACCGGCGCCCAACUGACGCUGAAGCACGAAAGCGUGGGUAUCGAACAGGAUUAGAUACCCCUGUAGUC
RNAcentral lists this ribosomal RNA (460 nucleotides) under uncultured bacterium. RNAcentral describes it as "partial 16S ribosomal RNA". It matches the Rfam family "Bacterial small subunit ribosomal RNA", at positions 338 to 795 of the family's 1533-position model. The record is from RNAcentral.